UCGAGUGGGAUAAGCCAUGCGAGUCACAUAGCAAUAUGUGGCAUACGGCUCAGUAACACGUAGUCAACAUGCCCAGGGGACGUGGAUAACCUCGGGAAACUGAGGAUAAACCGCGAUAGGCCAUCACUUCUGGAAUGGGUAAUGACUUAAAUCUAUAUGGCCCCUGGAUUGGACUGCGGCCGAUCAGGCUGUUGGUGAGGUAAUGGCCCACCAAACCUGUAACCGGUACGGGCUCUGAGAGGAGGAGCCCGGAGAUGGGCACUGAGACAAGGGCCCAGGCCCUAUGGGGCGCAGCAGGCGCGAAACCUCUGCAAUAGGCGAAAGCUUGACAGGGUUACUCUGAGUGAUUUCCGUUAAGGAGAUCUUUUGGCACCUCUAAAAAUGGUGCAGAAUAAGGGGUGGGCAAGUCUGGUGUCAGCCGCCGCGGUAAUACCAGCACCCCGAGUGGUCGGGACGUUUAUUGGGCCUAAAGCAUCCGUAGCCGGUUCUACAAGUCUUCCGUUAAAUCCACCUGCUUAACAGAUGGGCUGCGGAAGAUACUAUAGAGCUAGGAGGCGGGAGAGGCAAGCGGUACUCGAUGGGUAGGGGUAAAAUCCGUUGAUCCAUUGAAGACCACCAGUGGCGAAGGCGGCUUGCCAGAACGCGCUCGACGGUGAGGGAUGAAAGCUGGGGGAGCAAACCGGAUUAGAUACCCGGGUAGUCCCAGCUGUAAACGAUGCAGACUCGGUAAUGAGUUGGCUUUAUGCCAACUCAGUGCCGCAGGGAAGCCGUUAAGUUUGCCGCCUGGGGAGUACGGUCGCAAGACUGAAACUUAAAGGAAUUGGCGGGGGAGCACCACAAGGGGUGAAGCCUGCGGUU
RNAcentral lists this ribosomal RNA (858 nucleotides) under uncultured crenarchaeote. RNAcentral's name for it is "bacterial SSU rRNA". It matches the Rfam family "Archaeal small subunit ribosomal RNA", at positions 34 to 902 of the family's 1478-position model. Lineage: Archaea; Thermoproteati; Thermoproteota. The record is from RNAcentral.